UACGUAGGGGGCAAGCGUUGUCCGGAUUUAUUGGGCGUAAAGAGCGUGUAGGCGGCCAGGUAGGUCAGCUGUGAAAACUCGAGGCUCAACCUCGAGACGCCGGUUGAAACCAUCUGGCUAGAGUCCGGAAGAGGAGAGUGGAAUUCCUGGUGUAGCGGUGAAAUGCGCAGAUAUCAGGAAGAACACCCGUGGCUAAGGCGGCUCACUGGUCCGGUACUGACGCUGAGGUGCGAAAGCGUGGGGAGCAAACAGG
RNAcentral lists this ribosomal RNA (253 nucleotides) under uncultured bacterium. RNAcentral's name for it is "partial 16S ribosomal RNA". It matches the Rfam family "Bacterial small subunit ribosomal RNA", at positions 524 to 776 of the family's 1533-position model. The record is from RNAcentral.